This 447-nucleotide long non-coding RNA is filed under the name Apteryx owenii (little spotted kiwi). Its description in RNAcentral is "lncRNA (ENSAOWG00000009142.1)". The record is from RNAcentral. Lineage: Eukaryota; Metazoa; Chordata; Aves; Apterygiformes; Apterygidae.
CAGCGAUAAAGAAACAUCGUCACUGUUCUGUGAAUGUGUGAGAUGUAGGUGGUAUUGGCAUAGCUGUGGGUGGUGUGACGUGGAAAGGAGGUGGGAGGAGCAAUGGGGGGCAGCUAGAAACGAGUUUCAUGCAUAAUAAGUAAGACUUUGACGGUCCUGGUAAUUGUUGCUUUUUUGUGUUUAACUGUUUUUUAUUUUUUCUUUAAAUAGGCUGACUCUGUGCUUAAGAAUCUAAAUUGCUGCUCAUAUGGCAAUGCUGCAUACUUCAGAGAAGAGAACUUUUGUACUGAUAGCAAGGACAUGGUCAAACAAAGCGCCACACUUGGUCAUUACAAGCCACAGGAGAAUAAUCCUCUAUUCAUGGAAGUCAGCCAUUCCCCAUUCCGUCUGGCUUUGAGUGGCUCUUGUCAAGGGCAUUUGUGAGAUUGCUACCGCAAAGUCUUCUAA